CUCUCAUCUUUCUCUCUCGCCUCUUUCCUCCCUUACUCUCUCGGCUCUCUCUUAUCUCAAUCUUCUUGUCUCGCCUCCCUCUCUUUCUUUUCAGUCUUAUCACUUUUUUUUUCUGCUGCUGUGUUGUUAUUACUGCACCUGCUACCUUACCUCACUGCUGCUGCAACACAUUACUGGAGUUACAAAAUUUCUGCCGCUGCACCUGCUGCCUUACCUCACUGCUGCUGCUGCAAGAUAUUCCUGCUGUUAUAAACUUGCUGCUGCAACAUAUUUCUGCCGGUACAAAACUGCACUGCUGCACACUGCUGCCUUUACACCACUGCUGCUACUCUCUCUACAAUUGGCUGGAUGUAUCUUCUUCAACAAAAGGUGGAAUACAACCUCUUUAUUUUGGAGAACCUGGAUUUCUUCUUCUCUCCUCAGAUCUGAAUAACAGUGUGUGGAGACAAAGUGAGGAUGAAGAAGAUGGAAGCUAUGGAUGUUGAUAUGUCCAAGCAGACAGAUGAAGUUUCCCAUGCAUUAGCAGCCGCAAAUGCAGUUAUAAAGACAUCUAACACAAGUUCUGGGACAAUGUUCCAAGACAUUAACCGAUGGUCUCAGGAGGGAGCUUGACAUGUACCACUAUGAUGAAGACGAUGAUGUUGGAAUAACUAACGAGGAUAAUCUUUGGCAUUACGUAUGUAAAAUGUACAUGUGGGACAAUAAUAUCACCAAUUACACCA
Long non-coding RNA from Macadamia integrifolia, 722 nucleotides. RefSeq lists it as uncharacterized. The transcript is spliced from 2 exons. The record is from RefSeq and is a predicted model, not a curated record. NCBI's taxonomy places the organism in Eukaryota, Viridiplantae, Streptophyta, Magnoliopsida, Proteales, Proteaceae.